This is a long non-coding RNA of Pygocentrus nattereri (red-bellied piranha), 982 nucleotides long. The record is from Ensembl. NCBI's taxonomy places the organism in Eukaryota, Metazoa, Chordata, Actinopteri, Characiformes, Serrasalmidae.
AGACGAACAGGCUCUGAGCCUUGCGUGAUCGACAUGUUUUCAGUUCAGUGUUUUCUUCCAGUUUUCCUGUUAUUUUCUGCUACAGCCACAGGUGCACAGAAGGUUAUUACAGCGUCCAGAGGAGAGACUGUCCUUCUGCCGUGCCCGUCACCUUUUGAUUACAGAGACACUGUUAAUGUUAAAUGGGAAAAGGAUGGAGAGUCAGGUCUCUGUAUGUAUCGUAUGAGUAAUAAUAAGAUUAGUGACCGUGUCUUCAGUCCUCAGUUCAAAGUAAACGCAGACCCUAUCGGACUGGUUAUAACAGAUGUUACAGACAGUGACGCUGGUGUUUAUAACUGUUCACUGAUCAGGAUGAUCCCCCCACCAGCUGCGGAUGACUUUUCAGUCCUGAUUCUUCAAGUUAACGUUCCAGCAGGUCUUAUGGUGCAGCAGGUGAACAUCAGUAACCAGAGCUGUGUGGAGCUGCUCUGUUCUCUGGAGGGUUUGAGUCCAGAGCAGGUCAGCUUCACCUGGUCCAGAGGAUCUGAGCAGCUUCUUCACCAGAACAACUCCAGCAAGAUGAGCAGCACACUGACACUCUGCAAGCCUCAAUGGAGAGACGAGGACACGUUCACCUGCCAGGCCAACUACUCAAGCAACCACACACUUUACAGCAAGAGCAUCACAAUCAAAUAUACUGAUGAAGAACGUCCACACAGCUUUCCAGUUAUUAGUUUGGUCCUAUUCAGCAUCUUCAUCAUCAUUAUCACAGUUAUCUGGAUAAUGUAUUGCCUCGUUUCACGUAAGAGGGUGAGAGCCUUCAUGCCCGAGCCACGACCAGCAGACGAGGCCUCAGAAUGAAACUGAGCAGAUGCUUGAUGACCUCCACACUGAAGGUCAGAUGACAGAUGGGAGACUGAGCUAUGAGUUCAACACCGAGAGCUGGAAAGAGCUACGACACAGCGUCUCACACCGCAGUCUGUUCACCUGCUACAGCGUCGGC